This 74-nucleotide transfer RNA is filed under the name Oscillospiraceae bacterium. Its description in RNAcentral is "tRNA-Gly". It matches the Rfam family "tRNA". Rfam says of the family: Transfer RNA (tRNA) molecules are approximately 80 nucleotides in length. Lineage: Bacteria; Bacillati; Bacillota; Clostridia; Eubacteriales; Oscillospiraceae. The record is from RNAcentral. RNAcentral also lists the same sequence under 1 other name.
GCAGGGUUGGUAUAUCGGUAUUACAGCGGCUUCCCAAGCCGUUAAGGCGGGUUCGAUUCCCGUACCCUGCUCCA